RNAcentral lists this ribosomal RNA (245 nucleotides) under uncultured bacterium. RNAcentral's name for it is "partial 16S ribosomal RNA". It matches the Rfam family "Bacterial small subunit ribosomal RNA", at positions 524 to 768 of the family's 1533-position model. The record is from RNAcentral.
GACAGAGGUGGCGAGCGUUGUUCGGAAUUACUGGGCUUAAAGGGCGCGUAGGCGGUGGUGUAAGUCUGGGGUGGAAUGCUACAGCUCAACUGUAGAGCUGCCUUGGAAACUGCAUUACUUGAGUCGGUGAGGGGAAGGCGGAAUUCCUGGUGUAGCGGUGAAAUGCGUAGAUAUCAGGAGGAAGGUCUGUGGCGAAGGCGGCCUUCUGGCACUUGACUGACGCUGAGGCGCGAAAGCGUGGGGAG